Molecule: ribosomal RNA, 431 nt
Filed under: uncultured bacterium
Lineage: Bacteria
Description: bacterial SSU rRNA
Rfam family: Bacterial small subunit ribosomal RNA
Source: RNAcentral
AACGCGAAGAACCUUACCAAGGCUUGACAUAUAGCGAAAAGUGGCAGAGAUGUCAUGUCCGCAAGGGCGCUAUACGGGUGGUGCAUGGUUGUCGUCAGCUCGUGUCGUGAGAUGUUGGGUUAAGUCCCGCAACGAGCGCAACCCUCGUUCUGUGUUACCAGCAUUCAGUUGGGGACUCACAGGAGACUGCCGGGGUCAACUCGGAGGAAGGUGGGGAUGACGUCAAACCAUCAUGCCCCUUAUGUCUUGGGCUGCACGCAUGCUAUAAUGGCCGGUACAAAGUGCUGCGAAAUCGUAAGAUUUAGCGAAUCACAUAAAGCCGGUCUCAGUUCGGAUUGAGGUCUGCAACUCGACCUCAUGAAGUCGGAGUUGCUAGUAAUCGUAGAUCAGCAACGCUACGGUGAAUACGUUCCCGGGUCUUGUACACACCG